This 30-nucleotide non-coding RNA is filed under the name Mus musculus (house mouse). The record is from RNAcentral. Lineage: Eukaryota; Metazoa; Chordata; Mammalia; Rodentia; Muridae.
UGGGAUGUUCAGUUGGCACAGACAGGUAUC